This 253-nucleotide ribosomal RNA is filed under the name uncultured bacterium. RNAcentral's name for it is "partial 16S ribosomal RNA". It matches the Rfam family "Bacterial small subunit ribosomal RNA", at positions 524 to 776 of the family's 1533-position model. The record is from RNAcentral.
UACGUGGGGUGCAAGCGUUGUUCGGAAUUACUGGGCGUAAAGCGCGUGUAGGUGGCCAAGCGGGUCAGAUGUGAAAGCCCUCAGCUUAACUGAGGAAGUGCGUCUGAAACUAUUUGGCUCGAGUAUGGGAGAGGAAGAUGGAAUUCCCAGUGUAGAGGUGAAAUUCGUAGAUAUUGGGAAGAACACCUGUGGCGAAAGCGAUUUUCUGGACCAUAACUGACACUGAGACGCGAAAGCGUGGGGAUCAAACAGG